AAAAAAAUAAACUCUGGUUCUUCGUAUCCAACGUUUGCCUGUUCGUCUUAUAUGAAAUAUUUUUAUAAUUAGUAUUUUCAUUAUUGUUAGAUGAUAAAACAUGAUUAAUACUUUAUGCGUGACUUGUCUUUUUAAUUUUUUUCAUACUUUUUUUAAAUAAGACGACGGUCAAACAUUGGACACGAAAACGCAGGAUUUAUA
Molecule: non-coding RNA, 201 nt
Organism: Oryza nivara
Lineage: Eukaryota; Viridiplantae; Streptophyta; Magnoliopsida; Poales; Poaceae
Source: Rfam